Long non-coding RNA from Cydia amplana, 270 nucleotides. RefSeq lists it as uncharacterized. Lineage: Eukaryota; Metazoa; Arthropoda; Insecta; Lepidoptera; Tortricidae. The transcript has 2 exons. The record is from RefSeq and is a predicted model, not a curated record.
CUUCCUCAAAAGAUAAACGGCCGAGAUGCUGCAAAUGCCGCAAGAAAAAAAGAAGAAAGCUCCAAAGAUGGAGGAGGAGACGUUGUCGUCAAUCGCGGAACUUAUGCUUUCGAUGUUUUAUCUGCUGUAUUUUAUUUGGGACAGUUGUGGCCUGUGUAUUGACUUUCAUUCCAAUAUUUACUGCAACCCAGUGAUGAGUAAAACAAGUGCACAUUUGAUUUCAUUCUGUAUUUUUUGUGACUCCAAUAAUAAAAUUGACUAAGAUACUAA